Molecule: unclassified non-coding RNA, 330 nt
Filed under: soil metagenome
Description: partial contains 5.8S ribosomal RNA, internal transcribed spacer 2, and large subunit ribosomal RNA
Rfam family: 5.8S ribosomal RNA (bases 1-120)
Source: RNAcentral
GAUGAAGAACGCAGCGAAAUGCGAUAAGUAAUGUGAAUUGCAGAAUUCAGUGAAUCAUCGAAUCUUUGAACGCACAUUGCGCCCCCUGGCAUUCCGGGGGGCAUGCCUGUUCGAGCGUCAUUUCACCACUCAAGCCUCGCUUGGUAUUGGGCAACGCGGUCCGCCGCGUGCCUCAAAUCGACCGGCUGGGUCUUCUGUCCCCUAAGCGUUGUGGAAACUAUUCGCUAAAGGGUGUUCGGGAGGCUACGCCGUAAAACAACCCCAUUUCUAAGGUUGACCUCGGAUCAGGUAGGGAUACCCGCUGAACUUAAGCAUAUCAAUAGCGGAGGA